Long non-coding RNA from Dromaius novaehollandiae (emu), 1452 nucleotides. RefSeq lists it as uncharacterized. The transcript is spliced from 3 exons. Lineage: Eukaryota; Metazoa; Chordata; Aves; Casuariiformes; Dromaiidae. The record is from RefSeq and is a predicted model, not a curated record.
AAGAACUGCUGAGAAACCUUCCUUGGAGAACAGAGACACUGGUGUGCAUCCAUCCCCUGAGGCAAUAUGUUAUACCAGUGCCAGAUCUCCUAUCUUCUGCAUUGGGAAGCAGCAAGCAAUGCCUGGAGUACCUCUCUCUGAUCAGCCUACCUCUACUGAAAAGGAAUAAUACCUACUUGGGGAACCCACAUUUCGACAGGCUAAAGAACAGAAGCAGCUGCAUUCGAAGAAAAACAAGAGUGCUUUUGAGUUGAUGUUUACCUUCCAAAGAAUGGACGUUUCAAAGGCCAAGCUACAGCACUACACAAUUAUCCAUGAGGUAGCAAAAUCACAGGAUAUGACAAGAGAGCUGAUGAAGAUCUGCAAAAUAGGAAAUCCUAUUCUCAUUUUAGAAGCAGAGUUGCAGCAGACAUGGCAGGGGAAAAAGGAAAAGAAGGGCAGCAGGAAGCUUCUUCUUCAAGACUCAGGAAAGAACUGUAAAGGAACUACUUUAAUUAAGAGGCAGUCAGUACGAUGCUUAAGUUAUACCCCAGCUGCAACAAACUGUUCAGGCUUUUUGAGCACUCUGUGGCUUUCCACCUUUGACUUCUUCAUAAAAAUGGUUCUCAACUUUAAGGGGGAAAAAAAAGGAAGAUUUUGAGGGACAACCAAAGCUAUGAAAAAAAAUAAAAUAUUGGGCACCACAAAUUUCAGUGUCUUUUGGAGGUUAACACACUAAUUACAUAUGAAUCAAUUUUCAACAUGAGCUUUAAAUUUCUUUGCUUGGAGAAAUCAGACGUUACUGUAUAUGCUUCUAGACGAGGGGGCAGCUUACCACUUUCAGAAAACUAGUUCUGCAUUUCUUACUAGUUCUGACUUAAGAACUGCAGACUGUCCUCAGAGAACCUUCUUUAAACCUUAAUACAGCUGGCAACGUAGCCUUCCUAAAGGGAUUUCAGAGCAGCUCCAAAAGUUAUCAUAGAUCCUCUUCCCUGAGGUCCUUUAAUCAUUCAAAUUGCCAUUAGAGAUGAACGUUUCUGACAAAAUGAUGAGCAGCAAGAUUUUUCAUAAUAAUUUUCAGCUGUUGUGUUUAGAUUUAGAAUUGUUCACCUGAACAAAAGUAGUUCAACUACAUGGACUACUACAUUAGGUUUAAGGGAAAACACACAAUGCAAUCAUGCUCCAUUAAAAGCUUCCCUAUGGACUUCCAGAAGAAACAUUUCCAGCCAUAUAUUUAUGGUUUGAAAUCUAAGCAGUUUCCUGACAAUCUCAGCAGCACAGAUCGUUCAUAUUGGAAUUAGCAUUCAAAACAUAAGUUGUUGUUAGUUUUCAUUUGAAAAGAAUUACAGUUAAAGAACUCUUUUUCAGGUUGUAAGCAUUGUAUUAUUUUGGAUAAGUAAUUUAAGUUAACAAGGGAAAGAGACUGUAAUAAAGGAUUAACUGCUUUAAAUACAAGUUUAAGCAACACUAGGU